CCUACGGGAGGCAGCAGUGAGGAAUCUUUGUCAAUGGGCGCGAGCCUGAUCCAGCCAAGUAGCGUGAAGGAUGACUGCCCUACGGGUUGUACACUUCUUUUAUAAAGGAAUAAAUUGAGGUACGUGUGCCUUUUUGUAUGUACUUUAUGAAUAAGGAUCGGCUAACUCCGUGACAGCAGCAGCGGUAAUACGGAGGAUCCGAGCGUUAUCGGGAUUUAUUGGGUUUAAAGGGAGCGUAGAUGGGUUGUUAAGUCAGUUGUGAAAGUUUGCGGCUCAACCGUAAAAUUGCAAGUGAUACUGGCAGUCUUGAGUACAGUUGAGGUAGGCGGAAUUCGGGGUGUAGCGGUGAAAUGCUUAGAUAUCACGAAGAACACCGAUUGCGAAGGCAGCUUACUAAACUGCCACUGACAUUGAUGCUCGAAAGUGUGGGUAUCAAACAGGAUUAGAUACCCCUGUAGUC
This 460-nucleotide ribosomal RNA is filed under the name uncultured bacterium. Its description in RNAcentral is "partial 16S ribosomal RNA". It matches the Rfam family "Bacterial small subunit ribosomal RNA", at positions 338 to 795 of the family's 1533-position model. The record is from RNAcentral.